UUUUGGACAAUGGGGGCAACCCUGAUCCAGCAAUGCCGCGUGAGUGAAGAAGGCCUUCGGGUUGUAAAGCUCUUUUGUCAGGCAAGAAACACCGGCUCUAACACAGUCCGGGAAUGACGGUACCUGAAGAAUAAGCACCGGCUAACUACGUGCCAGCAGCCGCGGUAAUACGUAGGGUGCAAGCGUUAAUCGGAAUUGCUGGGCGUAAAGCGUGCGCAGGCGGUUAUACAAGACAGGCGUGAAAUCCCCGGGCUUAACCUGGGAAUGGCGCCUGUGACUGUAUAGCUAGAGUGUGUCAGAGGGGGGUAGAAUUCCACGUGUAGCAGUGAAAUGCGUAGAUAUGUGGAGGAAUACCAAUGGCGAAGGCAGCCCCCUGGGAUAGCACUGACGCUCAUGCACGAAA
RNAcentral lists this ribosomal RNA (403 nucleotides) under uncultured bacterium. Its description in RNAcentral is "bacterial SSU rRNA". It matches the Rfam family "Bacterial small subunit ribosomal RNA", at positions 362 to 758 of the family's 1533-position model. The record is from RNAcentral.